GACGAACGCUGGCGGCGUGCUUAACACAUGCAAGUCGAACGGAAAGGCCCUGCUUUUGUGGGGUUCUCGAGUGGCGAAGGGGUGAGUAACAGGUGAGUAACCUGCCCUUGACUUUGGGGUAACUUCAGGUAACUGGGCCUAAUACCGGAUAGGAGCUCCUGCUGCAUGGUGGGGGUUGGAAAUUUUCGGCGGUUGGGGAUGGACUCGCGGCUUAUCAGCUUGUUGGUGGGGUAGUGGCUUACCCAGGCUUUGACGGGUAGCCGGCCUGAGAGGGUGACCGGCAACAUUGGGACUGAGAUACGGCCCAGACUCCUAUGGGAGGCAGCAGUGGGGAAUAUUGCACAAUGGGCGGAAGCCUGAUGCAGCAACGCCGCGUGCGGGAUGACGGCCUUCGGGUUGUAAACCGCUUUCGCCUGUGACGAAGCGUGAGUGACGGUAAUGGGUAAAGAAGCACCGGCUAACUACGUG
RNAcentral lists this ribosomal RNA (468 nucleotides) under uncultured bacterium. RNAcentral's name for it is "partial 16S ribosomal RNA". It matches the Rfam family "Bacterial small subunit ribosomal RNA", at positions 28 to 507 of the family's 1533-position model. The record is from RNAcentral.